RNAcentral lists this ribosomal RNA (476 nucleotides) under uncultured bacterium. RNAcentral's name for it is "bacterial SSU rRNA". It matches the Rfam family "Bacterial small subunit ribosomal RNA", at positions 335 to 799 of the family's 1533-position model. The record is from RNAcentral.
ACUCCUACGGGGAGGCAGCAGUAGGGAAUCUUCCACAAUGGGCGCAAGCCUGAUGGAGCAACACCGCGUGAGUGAAGAAGGGUUUCGGCUCGUAAAGCUCUGUUGUUAAAGAAGAACACGUAUGAGAGUAACUGUUCAUACGUUGACGGUAUUUAACCAGAAAGUCACGGCUAACUACGUGCCAGCAGCCGCGGUAAUACGUAGGUGGCAAGCGUUAUCCGGAUUUAUUGGGCGUAAAGAGAGUGCAGGCGGUUUUCUAAGUUCUGAUGUGAAAGCCUUCGGCUUAACCGGGAGAAGUGCAUCGGAAACUGGAUAACUUGAGUGCAGAAGAGGGUAGUGGAACUCCAUGUGUAGCGGUGGAAUGCGUAGAUAUAUGGAAGAACACCAGUGGCGAAGGCGGCUACCUGGUCUGCAACUGACGCUGAGACUCGAAAGCAUGGGUAGCGAACAGGAUUAGAUACCCUGGUAGCUCGAUG